This 65-nucleotide transfer RNA is filed under the name Leptogaster cylindrica. RNAcentral's name for it is "tRNA-Ile". The record is from RNAcentral. Lineage: Eukaryota; Metazoa; Arthropoda; Insecta; Diptera; Asilidae.
AAUGGGUUGCCUGACAAAAAGGAUUACCUUGAUAGGGUAAAUUAUGUAAUAUUUUACAUCCAUUA